GAUGAACGCUAGCGGCAGGCCUAAUACAUGCAAGUCGGACGGGAUUCAGGAGCUUGCUUCUGAUGAGAGUGGCGCACGGGUGCGUAGCACGUAUGUAACCUACCUUUAUCAGGGGGAUAGCCUCUCGAAAGAGAGAUUAAGCCCGCAUAAAAUCACAGCACAGCAUUGUGUAAUGAUCAAAUAUUUAUAGGAUAAAGAUGGGCAUGCGGAACAUUAGCUAGAUGGCGGGGUAACGGCCCACCAUGGCGACGAUGUUUAGGGGAUCUGAGAGGAUGGCCCCCCACACUGGUACGGAGACACGGACCAGACUCCUACGGGAGGCAGCAGUAAGGAAUAUUGGUCAAUGGGCGGAAGCCUGAACCAGCCAUGCCGCGUGCAGGAAGACGGCCCUACGGGUUGUAAACUGCUUUUAUACGGGAAUAAACCCAGAUACGUGUAUCUGGCUGAAUGUACUGUAAGAAUAAGGAUCGGCUAACUCCGUG
RNAcentral lists this ribosomal RNA (482 nucleotides) under uncultured bacterium. RNAcentral describes it as "partial 16S ribosomal RNA". It matches the Rfam family "Bacterial small subunit ribosomal RNA", at positions 28 to 507 of the family's 1533-position model. The record is from RNAcentral.